GGAUGGGAUCAUACCAGCACUAAAGCAUCGGAUCCCAUCAGAACUCCGAAGUUAAGCGUGCUUGGGCGAGAGUAGUACUAGGAUGGUGACCUCCAGGGAAGUCCUCGUGUUGCAUUCC
RNAcentral lists this ribosomal RNA (118 nucleotides) under Triticum aestivum (bread wheat). Lineage: Eukaryota; Viridiplantae; Streptophyta; Magnoliopsida; Poales; Poaceae. The record is from RNAcentral.